Magnolia sinica is the source of this 389-nucleotide long non-coding RNA. RefSeq lists it as uncharacterized. Lineage: Eukaryota; Viridiplantae; Streptophyta; Magnoliopsida; Magnoliales; Magnoliaceae. The record is from RefSeq and is a predicted model, not a curated record. The transcript has 2 exons.
GGGUUCUCCAAGCUGCAGUGCAAGGGGAAUUGUGGUGGAUGAAGGACGUGGAUGGGAGGCCGCCCGGAAUGAUUGGAUUGUGGCCAGAAAAGAGUGUCACAUUCAUCGACAAUCAUCAUACAGGAUCCACACAACAGUUAUGGGCAUUCCCUUCGGAUAAAGUCAUGCAAGGAUAUGCUUAUGUUCUCACCCACCUAGGAAUCCCUUCCACAAUGCUUUUAGACAAUCGAACAAGCUGUAGUUGUUCAUCAGCCAAGCAAAAGUCAUACCCAGAUCUUGCGUUGUGACUUUGUAUUAUUUGUGGAACCUAAUGUUGUGUAAUAGCUUGAUUGAGUUUGUUUUGAAAACUUUAAAUAGUAAACAAGUGAGAUUGAUUGUUUGAUUGAGUU